This 381-nucleotide long non-coding RNA is filed under the name Phasianus colchicus (ring-necked pheasant). Its description in RNAcentral is "lncRNA (ENSPCLG00000019572.1)". Lineage: Eukaryota; Metazoa; Chordata; Aves; Galliformes; Phasianidae. The record is from RNAcentral.
UUACAAUCUGGGAUCCCUUGUACAAUUCUGCAUUUACACUUCCAGCACAGUGCACAGAUAGGUGUGCACAUCUUUGUCACCUGUAAAAGAGCAGUAAAAUGGACAACACCAAAUAAACUGUAAGUUCUGCUGAGGUGUACAACAAUAACUCAUGGUCUGCCUAUCUUACAAGCUGCAGGAGAAGCCAGCAGUAAAAGAAAGCAACAGAAAAGCAGUCUUUGUACCUUCGCUCUCCCAAAAGAAGAUAAAAUAUCUACUUCUUCCCCACAACCUUGACUGACAAGAUAAAUGAAAUGAAGACAGAAACUAAGCACAGAAAUAGUGAAUGUGAAGUGUUUAGAGGAAAAUAAAACUGUCAAACAUUCAAUUAAUGGUAUCUUG